GACGAACGCUGGCGGCGUGCUUAACACAUGCAAGUCGAACGGAAAGGCCCUGCUUUUGUGGGGUGCUCGAGUGGCGAACGGGUGAGUAACACGUGAGUAACCUGCCCUUGACUUUGGGAUAACUUCAGGAAACUGGGGCUAAUACCGGAUAGGAGCUCCUGCUGCAUGGUGGGGGUUGGAAAGUUUCGGCGGUUGGGGAUGGACUCGCGGCUUAUCAGCUUGUUGGUGGGGUAGUGGCUUACCAAGGCUUUGACGGGUCGCCGGCCUGAGAGGGUGACCGGCCACAUUGGGACUGAGAUACGGCCCAGACUCCUACGGGAGGCAGCAGUGGGGAAUAUUGCACAAUGGGCGGAAGCCUGAUGCAGCAACGCCGCGUGCGGGAUGACGGCCUUCGGGGUGUAAACCGCUUGCGCCUGUGACGAAGCGUGAGUGACGGUAAUGGGUAAAGAAGCACCGGCUAACUACGUG
RNAcentral lists this ribosomal RNA (468 nucleotides) under uncultured bacterium. Its description in RNAcentral is "partial 16S ribosomal RNA". It matches the Rfam family "Bacterial small subunit ribosomal RNA", at positions 28 to 507 of the family's 1533-position model. The record is from RNAcentral.